AGCUUUGCUCAGUGACAGUAUCAUAGCCAAUAAGGUUUAUUCGAGGCACGAUUAUUGCUAAUUGAAAACUUUUUGAAGAGUCAACUUUUAGAUUCAUUAAUU
This 102-nucleotide small nuclear RNA is filed under the name Canis lupus familiaris (dog). Its description in RNAcentral is "U4 spliceosomal RNA (ENSCAFG00000048033.2, ENSCAFG00040024815.1, ENSCAFG00805028791.1, ENSCAFG00845016136.1)". It matches the Rfam family "U4 spliceosomal RNA", at positions 1 to 102 of the family's 138-position model. Rfam says of the family: U4 small nuclear RNA (U4 snRNA) is a component of the major U2-dependent spliceosome. The structure of U4 snRNA from yeast and human has been reported. The record is from Rfam by way of RNAcentral. RNAcentral also lists the same sequence under 1 other name. Lineage: Eukaryota; Metazoa; Chordata; Mammalia; Carnivora; Canidae.